UUCAGGAAGCGGAAAGCGUUUCAGAACUCUUGUUGCCCAUCAACAACAUUUGACUUCGCUAGCUCUGCGGAGUAGUGGCUCACUCCGAUAAACAACUAUCAUGGCCUGGCCACUACUGGCCUCCCAAGUCAGAGCUUAGUGACUUAUUUUUGUACUUAGGAUCUUGACCAUGCAGGGUCCCGCACUUGCAUGCCCCGGCCCCCCGUGUUUUUGCGGGUCUCUCGACCUCGACAUCUCGUCGAUGCCGCCGCCGCCGCCGCCCCCGAGCGCGCAUGUUGCUUGUCUCUCUUGUGAUUUGCGAAUGGAAAGAGGCGUGCAUGUACUGAUAUCACGACGGCCGGUCAGCCACAGGCCCACAGUGGCGAAUCGAAGAACUGAGGGCCUCGACUGAUGAUCCGGGCUGGGAACCGGCCGGUUCCGACGGCGAAACAACCGGCGCAAUGCGCGGCCGGUGGAGCGGUGGGCCGGCGGGGACAGCGACGGCGUAUUGGCAGCCGGCUUCGAUCCGGGCUGGCCGUGUGAACAACACUUCUAUUAAGGGCCCGUUCGUUUCCGUCGGAUUGCGGAUUGGAAUUUGGACCGGCACAAACCCUGGCCUCGUCUCCUCCGGAUCGAUUCCUGGCCAAAGCGACGGCGAGACGUUGGCGACGCAUGAGGACGGUGCGAGGUCACUGCGUGGCGGCGCGAGGUGACGGCGGGCCGGCGCCGCGCAGCCCCGACGGCAAGCCUCCCCGGCACCUUCUCACCGAUUACAAGGGGGAAGAGGCGAACUCAAGAGCCCCAAAGGCGAGUUUCCCGAAUUUUGACAGCAGCAGUGAGGAUAGUGAUGACAAGAGGGAAAACAUUGGCAACGGAGAAGAAUACUGAUGAAGGUUGGGACAGUGACUGAAUGACAGGGCUCAAGGAAGAGAAAUGUUGAUACGUGAUGCAUCAACGAAGGCCAGCACCAAUGGUUGUCAAUGCAGGUUCUUUCAUCGGUGGUCUUGCUCACGUACUUGUCCAAACGAAAUCUCGAGGAGGUAGAAGAGUACUCGUGGUUUCCAUGAGAACAACUGUCUGAAAGUUGUUGAAGCGGAUGAGUUCUCAUAAAAUGUCCUUAGAUUGUUUAGCCCAAAAAUGCACGAGGUGAUGUGUUUAUUUUCACUGAACCUAGUAGUAGCCAGGAGCGGUCUGUGCAAGUCUGUAUAUUCAGCAACUUCUUCUUGUAUAUGUUUAUGAUGAACCUAGGUGUGAUAUAUGAUUUGUCUAUGUGUGAUCUGUGAUUUGUAACUUUAUAUUGGUUAAAACAUAUAUCAGUUGUUUUUUAAA
Molecule: long non-coding RNA, 1308 nt
Organism: Zea mays
Lineage: Eukaryota; Viridiplantae; Streptophyta; Magnoliopsida; Poales; Poaceae
Exons: 3
Source: RefSeq, a predicted model, not a curated record